RNAcentral lists this ribosomal RNA (254 nucleotides) under uncultured bacterium. Its description in RNAcentral is "partial 16S ribosomal RNA". It matches the Rfam family "Bacterial small subunit ribosomal RNA", at positions 524 to 776 of the family's 1533-position model. The record is from RNAcentral.
UACAGAGGGCGCGAGCGUUGUCCGGAAUCACUGGGCGUAAAGGGCGCGUAGGUGGCCACCUUAAGGCCGCGGUGAAAGUUCGGGGCUCAACCCCGGAUCGGCCGCGGCGACUGUGGGGCUCGGGUACUGUAGAGGCAGAUGGAAUUCCUGGUGUAGCGGUGAAAUGCGCAGAUAUCAGGAGGAACACCGGUGGCGAAGGCGGUUCUCUGGGCAUUACCUGACGCUGAGGAGCGAAAGUGUGGGGAGCGAACAGG